RNAcentral lists this ribosomal RNA (440 nucleotides) under uncultured bacterium. RNAcentral describes it as "partial 16S ribosomal RNA". It matches the Rfam family "Bacterial small subunit ribosomal RNA", at positions 338 to 795 of the family's 1533-position model. The record is from RNAcentral.
CCUACGGGUGGCAGCAGUGGGGAAUAUUGCACAAUGGGGGAAACCCUGAUGCAGCGACGCCGCGUGAGUGAAGAAGUAUUUCGGUAUGUAAAGCUCUAUCAGCAGGGAAGAAAAUGACGGUACCUGUUUAAGAAGCCCCGGCUAACUACGUGCCAGCAGCCGCGGUACUACGUAGGGGGCAAGCGUUAUCCGGAUUUACUGGGUGUAAAGGGAGCGUAGACGGCAGCACAAGUCUGGAGUGAAAUGCCGGGGCUUAACCCCGGAACUGCUUUGGAAACUGUGCAGCUAGAGUGCAGGAGAGGUAAGUGGAAUUCCUAGUGUAGCGGUGAAAUGCGUAGAGAUUAGGAGGAACACCAGUGGCGAAGGCGGCUUACUGGACUGUAACUGACGUUGAGGCUCGAAAGCGUGGGGAGCAAACAGGAUUAGAUACCCCUGUAGUC